This 2407-nucleotide long non-coding RNA is filed under the name Oryctolagus cuniculus (rabbit). RNAcentral's name for it is "lncRNA (ENSOCUG00000036354.1)". Lineage: Eukaryota; Metazoa; Chordata; Mammalia; Lagomorpha; Leporidae. The record is from RNAcentral.
AUGGGGUGGGGUGGGGGAGGGGGCACAAAGGGAAGCAGAAGCGACAUUCCUGGAAGACAUUCCUGGAAGACAUUCCGAAGGAAGCCCCUGGCUGCGUAUUCCCGCCUUAUCCCAGCUCGUGGGCUUGUGGGACCACCGCCGCCUUGGGGCAGAGCCGGCCCGGGAAGGAUCAGAACAGCCUGCCCUGAUGCUCUUCCCACCUCCUCCAGUGAAUGGUACAGUCCAAGGACUCUGUGAGUAGCUGGGCGGGAUUGGGGACCAGGGCAAGAAAGGGGAAAGAUGGUUUUCAAAAUACCUUCCUACCCAAAGAGACUUCAGAGCAUGAGUGGGGAAGAUGCAGAUUUGCAUGUCAGCCCUAGAGAGGCAGUGGGAGCCCCCUCUCUCCUUAUAGCCCAGGGACCCACGCCUCUGGGCCCUGGGGAACUGGGGUUCCAGCCUCUCCACCGCUCUUACCCCAUCCCUUUGUCUUGCUUCCCUCAGCUCCCUCCAAGUGACACAAGAAAGAAGGGAUGAGCUGGCCUUGGAAGAGGGGGGUAGAGCCUGGCUUCGGAAAUGGUUGGGUAGAGAGAGACAGACGGCACCCCACUUCCCUGCCCUAACAGGGACCUUGGGCUGAAAUUUUUAUUGCUUUUCUCCCCAGUGGACAGUCAUACAAAAGUAAUCCAGAAACCCCAAAAAGACAGCAAAGAAAAGUUUAGGGACAAAAGAGGGAUGGAGGCAUGGGGGGGAGUGCAGCAGCCCUAAGACUCUACCCUGCGGAGGUGCGACUUUCCCUCCUGGGCAGUAGGCAGGAGCCAGCACAAUGUCCAGUCUCGGAGAGGUCAAGGGGCUUCCGAGGUCAUUUUGUGGUUCUAAUACCGAGCUAAUCGCCUAGAAAACGUGGCCUCUCCAUGAACUCUCUCCUGCCAGCCUCCCACAUCCAAACCCUAAGUGAGGCCUCAGGGAAAAAGGGCCAGCACAUUCAGGUUUGAUGCAGAGCCACUGCCUCCCUGCGCCUGAGGAGCAGGGCCCCAGCAGAGACAACAGAGUUCCCAAACGCAGACAGAAACACCAACCCCAUCACGGAGCCUCUGGGUUCCAGAAAGCCAGGGGGGCAGCUCAGAGGAAGAAUUUUUUUUUUUCCAUCAACGCAUCUCGCCUGUGAGCUGAGCAGUUUCUCGCUGCAGACAGAAGCACGAUAUUUGUCUAGAAUCCCGAGCUCCUCAACACCAGAAGAGAAAAGGAUCGGUCCCAAGCCAGGGCACCGCAUCCCAGAGCUGGAUUCUCUGUGACAACCUCUCACCAGCCAACAGACAGAGGGGACCCGAGCCCCCUGUGUAGACAGGCAAGGGAGCACACCGGCCACACGUGAGCCCCAUAGACACACACGCAUGCACACACGCUGUGCAGUGCCCCGCGCCCGCCUGCAUCCUCCAAAGCCAGACCGGCGCUGCUGGGCGGCCCCGUGGCCAGCCCUCUCCUCUGGGGCUUCUUGGCGGCCCUGCCACCUCGCCCCAGUCAGCUCCAACACCCAUCCAGGACCCAGGCAGCCCUCAUCAUAAAAGGCAGUCAACCUGCCCCAGGGGCCACCGCAAAAAUCCCCGCGCAGACAGUGGAGAAAGAAAAAGAGGAGGAGGCGAGAGAGAGGGUUCUUCUUUUGCUUGUGACAAGAGCUCGUAAAAAAAAAAAACGGUCCAAACCCGCCAGCCCGGCCGGCUUUGUUACCUCUGCACCUCUCGCCUCCUGUGGCCCGAGCGCCGCCGGUCCCACUCAUGAUGAACGGCUUCUUCCAAACUGAGAGAAAAAAGUUUUCAACUUUAUGGUCCGAUUUUUCUCCCCUCGCAGAUCUGGGAGAGGCGGCUAACAGUUUUUUCCCCCAGCAGCCGGUCUGUGGAGAUUUGCUGUUGAAUAAUAACAAAGGAGAGAGGAUACGUAUUUAAAGAAAAGAAGUGAUUAAUGGUUUUCCGUAUAAUUCUCACAUUUUUCUUAGCUCUUGUCUUACACAGAAUGACUGUGAACUUUAAGCUCCAUAGAAAUCUUUUUUUUUUUUUAAAUUCUAUUCAUACCUUCCAAGGAGCAGCUUUGAUUUGGUUCUUUUAGAGAGAUUCCGGUGGGGGGGGGGGGCAUCUGCUUUUUCAGAACUAUUUUCCCCCUCUGCUAAGGGCUGUCCCUGUCUCUCCUUGCAGCUAAGACACCACCCCGCGACGCCACGGAAACAAAGCUCGCCCCCUCUCCCUCCAGGUCCAGGGUGAUUUUUCCUAAGUCCCCCGGCCGAGCUGCGUUGAAUCGGGCACUUCCACUGCCCUCUCCAGCGCUGAGGACCCAGGCCCCCUCGGUUCCCCCUGGCCCUAACCACUCUCCAGUUAUUGCCCUGCAAACCAGAGGAAUGCAAAAUAAAAAACAAUAAAAUGUGUGGGUGUGUCUGGCU